UUAAAUUGAAGAGUUUGAUCAUGGCUCAGAUUGAACGCUGGCGGCAGGCCUAACACAUGCAAGUCGAGCGGAAACGAGUUAUCUGAACC
This 89-nucleotide ribosomal RNA is filed under the name Vibrio parahaemolyticus. Its description in RNAcentral is "partial 16S ribosomal RNA". It matches the Rfam family "Bacterial small subunit ribosomal RNA", at positions 1 to 86 of the family's 1533-position model. Lineage: Bacteria; Pseudomonadati; Pseudomonadota; Gammaproteobacteria; Vibrionales; Vibrionaceae. RNAcentral also lists the same sequence under 7 other names. The record is from RNAcentral.